RNAcentral lists this ribosomal RNA (402 nucleotides) under uncultured bacterium. Its description in RNAcentral is "bacterial SSU rRNA". It matches the Rfam family "Bacterial small subunit ribosomal RNA", at positions 107 to 509 of the family's 1533-position model. The record is from RNAcentral.
UGCGUAACAGGUGUGCAAUCUGUCCAUAGUCCGGGGGAUAGCCCAGCGAAAGCUGAAUUAACACUCCAUGUGAAUCGAAGCCGCAUGACUUUGAUUUGAAACGCAAGGACUAUGGGUGAGCACGCUUCUGAUUAGGUAGUUGGUGGGGUAACGGCCCACCAAGCCGACGAUCAGUAGGGGUUCUGAGAGGAAGGUCCCCCACAUUGGAACUGAGACACGGUCCAAACUCCUACGGGAGGCAGCAGUGAGGAAUAUUGGUCAAUGGGCGAGAGCCUGAACCAGCCAAGUCGCGUGAAGUAUGAAGGUUCUAUGGAUUAGUAAACUUCUUUUGUCCGAGGGUAAAGGAGGCUACGUGUAGCUUUUGCAAGUAUCGGACGAAUAAGCAUCGGCUAACUCCGUGCC